Molecule: ribosomal RNA, 438 nt
Filed under: uncultured bacterium
Lineage: Bacteria
Description: bacterial SSU rRNA
Rfam family: Bacterial small subunit ribosomal RNA
Source: RNAcentral
CCUACGGGAGGCAGCAGUGAGGAAUAUUGGUCAAUGGGCGGGAGCCUGAACCAGCCAAGUCGCGUGAGGGAAGACGGUCCUACGGAUUGUAAACCUCUUUUGCCGGGGAGCAACGGGGUCCUUGCGAGGGCCCGAUGAGAGUACCCGGAGAAAAAGCAUCGGCUAACUCCGUGCCAGCAGCCGCGGUAAUACGGAGGAUGCGAGCGUUAUCCGGAUUUAUUGGGUUUAAAGGGUGCGUAGGCGGGCUGUUAAGUCAGCGGUCAAAUGUCGGGGCUCAACCCCGGCCUGCCGUUGAAACUGGCGGCCUCGAGUGGGCGAGAAGUAUGCGGAAUGCGUGGUGUAGCGGUGAAAUGCAUAGAUAUCACGCAGAACUCCGAUUGCGAAGGCAGCAUACCGGCGCCCUACUGACGCUGAGGCACGAAAGCGUGGGUAUCGAAC